AACCCCAACUCUUCUUCCCACCAACCCACCAACCCACCCGUUUCAGUAUAACAAAUUUGUUUAUUCUUCCGGUUAAAAUCCAUUUCCUAGAUUCAAAGAUCUUAGAUUCAAACUCAAUCCACCAAACUCUCCUAAAAUGGCUGCUGCUACAUCUCAUUCUUUGCAGGCAUCAACGAGAAUUGCUUCUACACGCCCUCAGCUUAAACCCAAUUCGGAUUCACAAAUUUCUAAUUCUCUCUCUUUCUCUUCUCAAUUGCGCAGUUUCUCGCUCAAAUCUUCACAAUCUACAACAAUGAGACAACUACAUUCACGGAGAGUAAGUGCAGCUGUAAGGACAGAAAGCGAUUCAGGCACAAUAGAGGUUGAUAUCUCCUUGAGCCCUAGAGUAAAUUCAGUGAAGCCUUGAAAGACCGUGGCUAUAACCGAUCAGGCAACUGCACUUGCUCAAGCUGGUGUGCCUGUUAUUCGGCUAGCAGCUGGAGAACCGGAUUUUGAUACUCCAGCAGUAAUAGCUGAGGCAGGAAUUAGUGCAAUUCGAGAAGGAUACACAAGAUAUACUCCUAAUGCGGGUACUUUAGAACUACGUUCAGCUAUUUGCCACAAGUUGAAAGAGGAGAAUGGAAUAUCUUACACACCUGAUCAAAUUUUGGUGAGUAAUGGGGCGAAGCAGAGUAUUCUUCAGGCAGUUCUUGCAGUUUGUUCCCCUGGGGAUGAGGUAUACUUUAAACUUUCUAAGCAUAUCUAUU
Molecule: long non-coding RNA, 746 nt
Organism: Olea europaea var. sylvestris
Lineage: Eukaryota; Viridiplantae; Streptophyta; Magnoliopsida; Lamiales; Oleaceae
Exons: 4
Source: RefSeq, a predicted model, not a curated record